UAUAGAAUUCACUAGUUGAUUCCAUCGACUCGUUCAAGCACCAGCUCGAAGAAGCUUAGCUAAUUUAUCUUAGAAAAUAAUGAAAAAGCUAUGCUUCUCAAGAAGGUGCAUGAACAAGUUGAUGUAUAUUUUGAUGUGUA
Arabidopsis thaliana (thale cress) is the source of this 140-nucleotide microRNA precursor. It matches the Rfam family "MIR825 microRNA precursor family". Lineage: Eukaryota; Viridiplantae; Streptophyta; Magnoliopsida; Brassicales; Brassicaceae. The record is from Rfam.